RNAcentral lists this ribosomal RNA (352 nucleotides) under uncultured bacterium. Its description in RNAcentral is "bacterial SSU rRNA". It matches the Rfam family "Bacterial small subunit ribosomal RNA", at positions 8 to 353 of the family's 1533-position model. The record is from RNAcentral.
AGAGUUUGAUCCUGGCUCAGGACGAACGCUGGCGGCGCGCCUAACACAUGCAAGUCGAACGGAGUCAAGAGGAGCUUGCUUUUCUUGACUUAGUGGCGAACGGGUGAGUAACGCGUGAGUAACCUGCCCUGAAGUGGGGGACAACAGUUGGAAACGACUGCUAAUACCGCAUAAGCCCACGGAUUCGCAUGGAUCUGCGGGAAAAGGAUUUAUUCGCUUCAGGAUGGACUCGCGUCCAAUUAGCUAGUCGGUGAGGUAACGGCCCACCAAGGCGACGAUUGGUAGCCGGACUGAGAGGUUGAACGGCCACAUUGGGACUGAGACACGGCCCAGACUCCUACGGGAGGCAGCA